Molecule: unclassified non-coding RNA, 165 nt
Filed under: uncultured Herpotrichiellaceae
Lineage: Eukaryota; Fungi; Ascomycota; Eurotiomycetes; Chaetothyriales; Herpotrichiellaceae
Description: sequence contains ITS2
Source: RNAcentral
UCACCAUCUCAAGCCUGGCUUGUUGUUGGGCCCUUUGUCACCGGGUGACAGGUCCGAAAGACAAUGACCGGUGUCAUACUGACUCCCUAUGCGACGAGCUUAUAACAGCAUGCAUGUGGUGGUUGUGUGACCCGCUGAAAGCCUUUGGCACCCUUUCUUUCUCAA